This 497-nucleotide ribosomal RNA is filed under the name uncultured bacterium. Its description in RNAcentral is "partial 16S ribosomal RNA". It matches the Rfam family "Bacterial small subunit ribosomal RNA", at positions 28 to 507 of the family's 1533-position model. The record is from RNAcentral.
GAUGAACGCUGGCGGCGUGCCUAAUACAUGCAAGUCGAGCGAACGGACGAGAAGCUUGCUUCUCUGAUGUUAGCGGCGGACGGGUGAGUAACACGUGGAUAACCUACCUAUAAGACUGGGAUAACUUCGGGAAACCGGAGCUAAUACCGGAUAAUAUUUUGAACCGCAUGGUUGAAAAGUGAAAGACGGUCUUUCUGUCACUUAUAGAUGGAUCCGCGCUGCAUUAGCUAGUUGGUAAGGUAACGGCUUACCAAGGCAACGAUGCCUAGCCGACCUGAGAGGGUGAUCGGCCACACUGGAACUGAGACACGGUCCAGACUCCUACGGGAGGCAGCAGUAGGGAAUCUUCCGCAAUGGGCGAAAGCCUGACGGAGCAACGCCGCGUGAGUGAUGAAGGUCUUCGGAUCGUAAAACUCUGUUAUUAGGGAAGAACAUAUGUGUAAGUAACUGUGCACAUCUUGACGGUACCUAAUCAGAAAGCCACGGCUAACUACGUG